GAUGAAGAACGUAGUGAAAUGCGAUAAUUAAUGUGAAUUGCAGAAUUCAGUGAAUCAUCGAGUCUUUGAACACACAUUGCGCCUCAUGGCAUUCCGUGAGGCAUGCCCAUCUCAGCGUUAGAAAAUAUUCUCAAAUUUUAGUUUUGUGCUAAAAUUUGGAUCAUGUCAAGGAAGCUAUUACUAUUAUUGUGAUCGCUCUUUGGAAAUUGAUAGGUCUUUGAGUUGCUACUCAUAGAACGUGAUGAAUCUUUCUUCGUUCUAUUGUAAUUCACUCUGGUAGUCCUAAAACUUGUAUGCCUGUGGCAUAUCUUGUAAUUUGACCUGAGAUUGGGUAGGGAUACCCGCUGAACUUAAGCAUAUCAAUAAGCGGAGG
This 373-nucleotide unclassified non-coding RNA is filed under the name soil metagenome. RNAcentral describes it as "partial contains internal transcribed spacer 2 and large subunit ribosomal RNA". The stretch from base 1 to 120 matches the Rfam family "5.8S ribosomal RNA", at positions 35 to 154 of the family's 154-position model. The record is from RNAcentral.